GCCCAAUCUGCAACGAAAAUGAUUAUAAACAAGUUACACACCAACAUUCGGCUACCACUUCCCGAUUGAUUAAAUUCUUCAGCAACUCCAAAACUCAACCUCAAAUGGAUUAGAGCCCGUAGUGUUGUAUGAUACGUAGUACGUACACGCCUGUAUGUUGUACGUACAUUCGACGGUGGUAGUGGUUCCGAGAAAUGGAGAACUACAUGCCAAGUGGAAUUACAUGUGAAACAAGUACGUUCGUCAUAAUGCAGCGGCUGUUGCUUCGCUUAUUGCAUCUACCUAACGUCUACUGGGCUGCCUUUCUUGAAUUCUUCUGUAAAGUUUGAAUAACAUGAGAAUUUACGACCCCUACAUAGCUAUGAGGACACAUAUUUGCAGUUUGCUGCAAAAGAUCAUUAUAAAACACUUCCAGAUAAAAUUUCACAUGAUAUUUUGAGCUUCCAUCUUACCAUGAACUUUUCAAUAAUCUGUUCAAAGCAAAUCACAGUUAUAUGUAUGUACGUAGCUAUUUAUAAUAAAUAUUACGAAUGGCGCUUUGAUGAUGAUUGCAAUGACCAUAUCAAAAUCGAACAAGUGUUAGCCACUUUACAUAACUUUGAAUAAAAAUUUAGUAAGUUAUUGACACACUU
Molecule: long non-coding RNA, 632 nt
Organism: Athalia rosae (coleseed sawfly)
Lineage: Eukaryota; Metazoa; Arthropoda; Insecta; Hymenoptera; Athaliidae
Exons: 2
Source: RefSeq, a predicted model, not a curated record